UGGCGAACGGGUGAGUAAUGCAUCGGAACGUACCCAGUCGUGGGGGAUAACGUAGCGAAAGUUACGCUAAUACCGCAUACGUCCUGAGGGAGAAAGCGGGGGCUCGCAAGACCUCGCGCGAUUGGAGCGGCCGAUGUCGGAUUAGCUAGUUGGUAGGGUAAAGGCCUACCAAGGCGACGAUCCGUAGCGGGUCUGAGAGGAUGAUCCGCCACACUGGAACUGAGACACGGUCCAGACUCCUACGGGAGGCAGCAGUGGGGAAUUUUGGACAAUGGGCGAAAGCCUGAUCCAGCCAUGCCGCGUGAGUGAAGAAGGCCUUCGGGUUGUAAAGCUCUUUCAGCCGGAAAGAAAUCGCGCAGGAUAAUACUCUGCGUGGAUGACGGUACCGGAAGAAGAAGCACCGGCUAACUACGUGCCAGCAGCCGCGGUAAUACGUAGGGUGCGAGCGUUAAUCGGAAUUACUGGGCGUAAAGCGUGCGCAGGCGGUUAUGUAAGACAGAUGUGAAAUCCCCGGGCUCAACCUGGGAACUGCGUUUGUGACUGCAUAACUAGAGUACGGCAGAGGGAGGUGGAAUUCCGCGUGUAGCAGUGAAAUGCGUAGAGAUGCGGAGGAACACCGAUGGCGAAGGCAGCCUCCUGGGCCAGUACUGACGCUCAUGCACGAAAGCGUGGGGAGCAAACAGGAUUAGAUACCCUGGUAGUCCACGCCCUAAACGAUGUCAACUAGUUGUUCGGUGAGGAGACUCAUUGAGUAACGCAGCUAACGCGUGAAGUUGACCGCCUGGGGAGUACGGCCGCAAGGUUAAAACUCAAAGGAAUUGACGGGGACCCGCACAAGCGGUGGAUGAUGUGGAUUAAUUCGAUGNCACGCGAAAAACCUUACC
This 884-nucleotide ribosomal RNA is filed under the name uncultured bacterium. Its description in RNAcentral is "bacterial SSU rRNA". It matches the Rfam family "Bacterial small subunit ribosomal RNA", at positions 96 to 975 of the family's 1533-position model. The record is from RNAcentral.